CUUCGUUCAUCUCCGUCGAUGGCGGAGGAAAGGUCGACCUUCAAGCCAUCCGUGAAAUAAUCACAUCUCAGAUUGUGUUAAACAAGUUUAACGAGCAUCAGGUUCCAUUGGCUAGACAAUUUAUUGCUAAACAUGCUCCACACCUCCUUCAUUGACCAAAAUUCACAUCUUCUUCUAGCAGUAAAAGAUGAAAAUCCACCAAAGUAUUACCAAGGCAAGAACACAGCAGCAACUAUCCAGGAAAUGCUUCUCCUACAAGGCAAGAAGAGGCACAUAACAUUUGGGAAUGAAAGCAUG
This is a long non-coding RNA of Lolium rigidum, 297 nucleotides long. RefSeq lists it as uncharacterized. NCBI's taxonomy places the organism in Eukaryota, Viridiplantae, Streptophyta, Magnoliopsida, Poales, Poaceae. The transcript has 4 exons. The record is from RefSeq and is a predicted model, not a curated record.